AUCAGAUACCAGUUGAAGAGCUUUGUCAUAAGCUAAAUGAUCAAAGCUAGCAUAUUGUGAAGCUUCCGUAAUGUAACAAUUCAAAAAGCAUCUCACAGAUUGGUUGAUGGAAGGCAGAUUGAUUUACAGUGUACAUCCUGAUAGGUUAGGCAACGUAGUUGACACACAGUCAGAGAAGAAACGGAGCAUAAAAUAUACAAAUUUGCAGAACAUCAAGAUGUCAUGAGGAAGAACUCGAGAAGCUGGAGAUUUAUAAUGUUGGUUGUGGUAGAGCCACUAAACCAUCUAUCAUUCGCGGAAUUUGGUGAAGGUAGAAAUUCAGAUUUCAUCAACUGCAUAGCAUUCCUGAGAAAGACGCUGAGGGACCUUUACUACUAGCCUCAGUUUCAUCGCCACUCAUUUGAAUUUCAACAUCGGUAGAACGUAAUCCAUAGAAGGCCUCAUGUUGUCCUCUAGUUGCAGGCGUGGAAAAGCCAACUUUGCCACUGUGUGAGAUGCACUUUUUUCCCAUCGCAGCAUUUCAUUGGUACGUCUCUUCCAUUGCUCGGUUCACCUAAGAAUGUGCAUUGUUAGCUGCUCUAUAUAGAGAGAGUUAAUCAAAGUACUGUUACCUUCUAGAAAUCUGCCAAAUAUAAAGCUUAAGUCCAUAUGCUUCUUACCGUGGUAACCUGUUCCGAAACCUCCAUCAGUGUGUUCUGUAAAGGAAAUUUUGUGCACACAGCAUUAUUUAGUCAUAAGAAGUGCACGCACUAGCUGUCAAAUG
Molecule: long non-coding RNA, 763 nt
Filed under: Capsicum annuum
Lineage: Eukaryota; Viridiplantae; Streptophyta; Magnoliopsida; Solanales; Solanaceae
Description: long non-coding RNA (CANN_LNC022461)
Source: RNAcentral